AACGAACGCUGGCGGCAUGCCUAACACAUGCAAGUCGAACGAAACCGUCGGGUCUAGUGGCGCACGGCGGCGUAACGCGUGGGAACCUGCCCUUAGGUUCGGAAUAACUCCCCGAGGGGGGUGCUAAUACCGGAUAGUGUCUUCGGACCAAAGAUUUAUCGCCUUUGGUUGGGCGUCGUUGGGUUUGCUUGUUGGUAGGGUAAAAGCCUACCAAGGCGACGAUUCAUAGCUGGGUUGAGAGGAUGACCAGCCACACUGGGACUGAGACACGGCCCAGACUCCUACGCGAGGGAGCAGUGGGGAAUAUUGGACAAUGGGCGAAAGCCUGAUACAGCCAUGCCGCGUGAGUGAUGAAGGCCUUAGGGUUGUAAAGCUCUUUUACCCGGGAUGAUAAUGACAGUACCGGGAGAAUAAGCGCCGGCUAACUCCGUG
This 432-nucleotide ribosomal RNA is filed under the name uncultured bacterium. RNAcentral's name for it is "partial 16S ribosomal RNA". It matches the Rfam family "Bacterial small subunit ribosomal RNA", at positions 29 to 507 of the family's 1533-position model. The record is from RNAcentral.